AUUGAACGCUGGCGGCAUGCUUUACACAUGCAAGUCGAACGGCAGCGCGGGCUUCGGCCUGGCGGCGAGUGGCGAACGGGUGAGUAAUGCAUCGGAACGUGCCCAGUAGUGGGGGAUAGCCCGGCGAAAGCCGGAUUAAUACCGCAUACGACCUGAGGGUGAAAGCGGGGGACCGAAAGGCCUCGCGCUAUUGGAGCGGCCGAUGUCGGAUUAGCUAGUUGGUGGGGUAAAGGCUUACCAAGGCGACGAUCCGUAGCUGGUCUGAGAGGACGACCAGCCACACUGGGACUGAGCCAGGGCCCAGACUCCUACGGGAGGCAGCAGUGGGGAAUUUUGGACAAUGGGGGCAACCCUGAUCCAGCCAUGCCGCGUGCGGGAAGAAGGCCUUCGGGUUGUAAACCGCUUUUGUUCGGGAAGAAAUACUCUGGGCUAAUACCCCGGGGGGAUGACGGUACCGGAAGAAUAAGCACCGGCUAACUACGUG
Molecule: ribosomal RNA, 484 nt
Filed under: uncultured bacterium
Lineage: Bacteria
Description: partial 16S ribosomal RNA
Rfam family: Bacterial small subunit ribosomal RNA
Source: RNAcentral